This 120-nucleotide small nuclear RNA is filed under the name Echinops telfairi (small Madagascar hedgehog). Its description in RNAcentral is "U5 spliceosomal RNA (ENSETEG00000021230.1)". It matches the Rfam family "U5 spliceosomal RNA". From Rfam's summary of the family: U5 RNA is a component of both types of known spliceosome. The precise function of this molecule is unknown, though it is known that the 5' loop is required for splice site selection and p220 binding, and that both the 3' stem-loop and the Sm site are important for Sm protein binding and cap methylation. The record is from RNAcentral. Lineage: Eukaryota; Metazoa; Chordata; Mammalia; Afrosoricida; Tenrecidae.
AUACUCUGGUUUCUCUUCAGGAGUGUAUACAUCUUUCGCGCCUUUUACUAAAGAUUUCCACGGAGAGAAACAACGCUGAGUCUUUAACCAAUUUUUUUGAGACCUCGCUUAUGCAGGGUU